This 930-nucleotide ribosomal RNA is filed under the name uncultured bacterium. Its description in RNAcentral is "bacterial SSU rRNA". It matches the Rfam family "Bacterial small subunit ribosomal RNA", at positions 8 to 974 of the family's 1533-position model. The record is from RNAcentral.
AGAGUUUGAUCAUGGCUCAGAAUCAACGCUGGCGGCGCGCUUAACACAUGCAAGUCGAACGAGAAAGUGGAGCAAUCCAUGAGUACAGUGGCGUACGGGUGAGUAACACGUGGGUAAUCUACCUUUUAGUGAGGAAUAACCAAGGGAAACUUUGGCUAAUACCGCAUAAGCCUGAGAAGGGAAAGCAGAAAUGCGCUGAAAGAGGAGCCCGCGGCCGAUUAGCUAGUUGGUGAGGUAAAAGCCCACCAAGGCAGAGAUCGGUAGCCGGCCUGAGAGGGCACACGGCCACACUGGCACUGAAACACGGGCCAGACUCCUACGGGAGGCAGCAGUGGGGAAUCUUGCACAAUGGGGGAAACCCUGAUGCAGCGACGCCGCGUGAGCGAUGAAGCCCUUCGGGGUGUAAAGCUCUUUCGUCAGGGAAGAUAGUGACGGUACCUGGAGAAGCAGCUGCGGCUAACUACGUGCCAGCAGCCGCGGUAAUACGUAGGCAGCAAGCGUUGUUCGGAGUUACUGGGCGUAAAGGGUGUGUAGGCGGUUCUUUAAGUUUGUCGUGAAAUCUCCCGGCUUAACCGGGAGGGUGCGGCGAAUACUGAGGGACUAGAGUACGGGAGAGGAAAGCGGAAUUCCUGGUGUAGCGGUGAAAUGCGUAGAUAUCAGGAGGAACACCGGUGGUGUAGACGGCUUUCUGGACCGUAACUGACGCUGAGACACGAAAGCGUGGGUAGCAAACACGAUUAGAUACCCUGGUAGUCCACGCCCUAAACGAUGCAUAUUUGGUGUGGGCAGUUCAUUCUGUCCGUGCCGGAGCUAACGCGUUAAAUAUGCCGCCUGGGGAGUACAGUCGCAAGGCUGAAACUCAAGGAAUUGACGGGGCCCGCACAGCGGUGGAGCAUGGUGGUUCAAUUCGACGCACGCGAAGAACCUUAC